Molecule: ribosomal RNA, 1246 nt
Filed under: Triticum aestivum (bread wheat)
Lineage: Eukaryota; Viridiplantae; Streptophyta; Magnoliopsida; Poales; Poaceae
Description: partial small subunit ribosomal RNA
Source: RNAcentral
CGGAUUGAGAGAUAUGAAGUCUCCAAUAAGUUCUACAGCUGCAAGAUGGAGGAGAAUAGUUCUGUCAGUGAACAUAUACUCAAAAUGUCUGGGUAUAAUAAUCACUUGAUUCAACUGGGAGUUAAUCUUCCGGAUGAUAGCGUCAUUGACAGAAUUCUCCAAUCACUGCCACCAAGCUACAAGAGCUUUGUGAUGAACUACAAUAUGCAAGGGAUGAACAAGACUAUUCCCGAGCUCUUCGCAAUGCUAAAAGCUGCGGAGGUAGAAAUCAAGAAGGAGCAUCAAGUGUUGAUAGUCAACAAGACCACUAGUUUCAAGAAAAAGGGCAAAGGGAAGAAGAAGGGGAACUUCAAGAAGAACAGCAAGCAAGUUGCUGCUCAAGAGAAGAAACCCAAGUCUGGACCUAAGCCUGAAACUGAGUGCUUCUACUGCAAGCAGACUGGUCACUGGAAGCGGAACUGCCCCAAGUAUUUGGCGGAUAAGAAGGAUGGCAAAGUGAACAAAGGUAUAUGUGAUAUACAUGUUAUUGAUGUGUACCUAACUAGAGCUCGUAGUAGCACCUGGGUAUUUGAUACUGGUUCUGUUGCUAAUAUUUGCAACUCGAAACAGGGACUACGGAAUAAGCGAGCACUGGUCAAGGACGAGGUGACGAUGCGCGUGGGAAACGGUUCCAAAGUCGAUGUGAUCGCAGUCGGCACGCUACCUCUACAUCUACCUUCGGGAUUAGUUUUAGACCUAAAUAAUUGUUAUUUGGUGCCAGCGUUGAGCAUGAACAUUAUAUUUGGAUCUUGUUUGAUGCGAGACGGUUAUUCAUUUAAAUCAGAGAAUAAUGGUUGUUCUAUUUAUAUGAGUAAUAUCUUUUAUGGUCAUGCACCCUUGAAGAGUGGUCUAUUUUUAUUAAAUCUCGAUAGUAGUGAUACACAUAUUCAUAGUGUUGAAACCAAAAUAUGCAGAGUUAAUAAUGAUAGUGCAACUUAUCUGUGGCACCGCCGUUUGGGUCAUAUCGGUGUAAAGCGCACGAAGAAACUCCAUACUGAUGGACUUUUGGAAUCACUUGAUUAUGAAUCACUUGGUACUUGCGAACCGUGCCUUAUGGGCAAGAUGACUAAAACGCCGUUCUCCGGAACUAUGGAGCGAGCAACUGAUUUGUUGGAAAUCAUACAUACUGAUGUUUGUGGCCCAAUGAAUGUUGAGGCUCGCGGCGGGUAUCGUUAUUUUCUCACCUUCACAGAUGAUUUGAGCAGAU